This is a long non-coding RNA of Mustela erminea (ermine), 1588 nucleotides long. RefSeq lists it as uncharacterized. Lineage: Eukaryota; Metazoa; Chordata; Mammalia; Carnivora; Mustelidae. The record is from RefSeq and is a predicted model, not a curated record. The transcript is spliced from 3 exons.
AGCCGAAUGCAGAUGCUUAACUGACUGAGCCAUCCAGACUGAUGCAUUUGAGACAAAACCACUACGGAGGCAAGAAGCAGGAGCUGCCUUCAGUCUAAGCAUCCCGCAGAAGCCAAGCCUUGGAAGAUGGAAAUGAUAAAGAAGCUGUUUACUAGGGUGACAUUCGCCUAACUUUGAUCCAGACAUGAUAUCAUCUCCAGGGUGUACCCUGUGCCAAACGACUGCAUGCUUUUGCCCCAAACGGUGGUUUUGUGCAGACUUACAAAUACGACCUGAAUAGCUGUGAGCCGGCCUGCACAUCCACAAACAGGUCAGAGCAGAUUUGAGUUACACAACUCCCCGCCGAGGGAGCCUGGUCCCCCCGUGGCCAGCUGGAGAGUUUACAUUUGUCAAUUACUUCCUUCAGGGCCUGGCUCAAGAUUCAUUUCCUUCAAGACUCCCUCUUCUACGAACUCACUUUGCUCAGCCAUUCCCUCCUCCCACAUCUGCUUAUUACUCAUCUCAUACUCUGUUCUGCUCUGCCACGUACUGUUGUGUUUUACCUCGUGAUCAUUCUCUGAAUUUUUACUUUAUCCUUCAGCUAAAUUAAAACUGCCUUGCAAGUAGGGCCUGUCUGCUCCUUUUGUAUGCUCCCGUGGCACUUAAGUACAGUGCUACACGUGUAAUGGUUUCCUAAUAAAAGAGGAAUGUUUUGUGGUUGUCGGGUUGGGCUUGGGAUCCUGCCUUUGCCUUCUGUUCCUGAAACCCACAGUCAGUGCUUCGACAGUCACAGGUUUUCCCAGGUCUGCUCUAGUGACAGGAUGUCACUUUGGCCUAUUCCUCUCUAACCCCAGAAAUUUCUCUCCUGACAUCUCGUGGAUUCGAUCGUCCAGAGGUUAGAUGGUCCACAAUCGGGAAGGCAGGGGUGAGGAGGCAGGGAGAAACCAAGUCUGUGCAGAGGGAUAUUAAGUGGACAGCACAGGAUCCAAGAGGGGAGGGCAGUACACCUGUAAGUGGCAGAGGGGACAGUGUUAGCAGGGGCUGGGGGGCGGGGCUGGAGAGGUAGUUGGGAUAGGACACAGCAAAGAGCUUCAGAUCUUUGGAGAAGGCUCAGGCUGGGGACGAGCUGGGGACAGUCUAGAGCCAAAGUGUUCAGAAUCGAUGUGGAUUUGAAGAAGAGGCAGAGGUACAGUCUAGCAUGUCUGAAAUAAAGAUGCAAGGUCUCAUACAUUCCUAGGGGAUACAUGACAACAUACUGGGGGAAAUAUGAACCCACAGGAGAGACAAGGCACUUUUUCUGGGAUGUCUAUUUUACUAUACAAUUUAGGAAUCUUCUAGUUGCAAACGAACUAGCCUAAUAAGCAAACCCACCCUGCCCUUUGUUGGAGCGGUGCACUUAACCCCAAGGUCUAUGAAGCUUCAGGUACGGCUGGAUACGGCACUCCAGUUACAUUGCCAGAGCUCUAGCUUUCUCUCUUUCUGCCCUGCUUGGCUUUCUUCGUGUGUAGGCUUUCUCCAAGUUGCAUUUGUUUGCUGGCAACUCCACAUCCUUAUUUACCUUGCUGAGCCACCCAGAAGAGGAAAAAGAACUCUGGGGUUCCUGCCUGGC